Molecule: ribosomal RNA, 420 nt
Filed under: uncultured Nitrososphaerota archaeon
Lineage: Archaea; Thermoproteati; Nitrososphaerota
Description: bacterial SSU rRNA
Rfam family: Archaeal small subunit ribosomal RNA
Source: RNAcentral
CAGCCGCCGCGGUAAAACCAGCACCUCAAGUGGUCAGGAUGAUUAUUGGGCCUAAAGCAUCCGUAGCCGGCUCUGUAAGUUUUCGGUUAAAUCUGUACGCUCAACGUACAGGCUGCCGGGAAUACUGCAGAGCUAGGGAGUGGGAGAGGUAGACGGUACUCGGUAGGAAGGGGUAAAAUCCUUUGAUCUAUUGAUGACCACCUGUGGCGAAGGCGGUCUACCAGAACACGUCCGACGGUGAGGGAUGAAAGCUGGGGGAGCAAACCGGAUUAGAUACCCGGGUAGUCCCAGCUGUAAACUAUGCAAACUCAGUGAUGCAUUGGCUUGUGGCCAAUGCAGUGCUGCAGGGAAGCCGUUAAGUUUGCCGCCUGGGAAGUACGUACGCAAGUAUGAAACUUAAAGGAAUUGGCGGGUGAGCAC